This 117-nucleotide ribosomal RNA is filed under the name uncultured bacterium. RNAcentral describes it as "partial 16S ribosomal RNA". It matches the Rfam family "Bacterial small subunit ribosomal RNA", at positions 1357 to 1482 of the family's 1533-position model. The record is from RNAcentral.
AUACGGUGAAUACGUUCCCGGACUUGUACACACCGCCCGUCAAGCCAUGGAAGCCGGGUGUACCUAAAGUCGGUAACCGUAAGGAGCCGCCUAGGGUAAAACUGGUGACGUGGGGCU